AGCGGCUGAUCCGCUGCUCGGCGGCCAAGGGCCGGCCAAGGAGUGCGAAAAGGACCAAUUCCAGUGCCGGAACGAGCGCUGCAUCCCUUCUGUGUGGAGAUGCGACGAGGACGAUGACUGCUCAGACCACAGCGACGAGGACGACUGCCCCAAGAAGACCUGUGCAGACAGUGACUUCACCUGUGACAACGGCCACUGCAUCCACGAACGGUGGAAGUGUGACGGCGAGGAGGAGUGUCCUGACGGCUCCGAUGAGUCCGAGGCCACUUGCAGUGAGUCCUGCCCCUCAGUCUGGGUGGGGGUGGGCCUCAGUUUCCUCCUCAGAUCUUCCUUGAGAGGCUGUGAGGCUCAGGAGAGGUGACCAGUUGAAUACUCUGUGCCACGCACUCAGGGCGCUCCUGGUAAACAGGUAUGUUUAGUUGCUGGUUUCUACUGACCUGUUUCUGGACUUUCUUCACAGCCCUCUCUCAGGUUGGACCCUGUUUCUGUGGCAGCAGGAGCUAGAAA
RNAcentral lists this small RNA (507 nucleotides) under Pongo abelii (Sumatran orangutan). Its description in RNAcentral is "retained intron". Lineage: Eukaryota; Metazoa; Chordata; Mammalia; Primates; Hominidae. The record is from RNAcentral.